GUUCCUCUGUCCUCUAGUUUGAUGCUUUAGUGUCACAGGACACUUUGUACAUAGUACCCCAUCCAUGAGAACACAGUCUUUCGCAGUAAAGACAGAUUCUCUCGGGAAUGUUUCCCUCCGUCCCUCCUUCCGUCUGCUUUUAAACAAAGCAGCUGAAAGCGGAGCGGAGGCUUUCCACUGACGACUAUCAUGGAGGGGUAGAUCAAGCAGAUGGCAAGUGGUGCGCAUUAAAAAAAAAAGAAAGAAAGAAAAAAAGCUUGAAACCAAACCCGGGGGGCACCUGCGCCUCGGCCACUGAAAGCCAAUACACGGACCUCAAAUGGAAGCAGGAAACCGGAGCGCCGAGAAAGAGAUGACUGACAGAAGUGUUCUGUGAUUGCUGUGUCUGCACCACGGAGGGCUGAGGACCAAAUCCAAUCAAUCAAGAGGCGGGACUGGGCCUAGAAGAGGAGCCUGGCCAAUGGGACACGUCCCUAACCGAGGGACCCAUGGCAGUCCACCAGCCCCACUUCGGUGCCAAGACAACCAGCCACUGGGAGUAGGUCGCAGGAAUCCAAUGCCCCCCCAUUACCAGCAGCAAGGCAUGAGAGGGGAGCCCCUAUGCCAAGCAGCCCUCAGGCCAGGGGGGCCUGGCUUCAUGGGCACCGCCAUAAAGUUAGUGAAAACCCAUCUCCCCACUACACCCUCUUACUAUUACUGACAAGUCCCCGACUGGCAGUCAUUGGCGCUAUCCCAUGUAUCAAUGCCCCUAAGUUGUGUGGUGGAUUAAAAUCUGGAGAGGCCAGGUAGGGAGAGGCAGCGGUUACAGGUACUACUGCCAAACAGACAAGUCUCCUCCACCCAAGAUCCAUCGUCCCUCAGAGAUGAUUGUAUGUGAUGCAUUAAAAGAAAGGGGAGUGACAGUGUGUAAUGCAUUCAAAUCCUGGGGGGCAGGCAGAUAAGAGGGACAGGGCACUUGGACCGGGAAACAGCCCUGACGUACUGAAACCCAGUUCGGCACCCACACUCUCUAGGCACCACCCCAGCCCCCAGGUAUCCCUGAAUAUGUGUGUGCUCAGAUGUGACUAGAGAAAAAAACAUUAGGUGAGAAAUUAAGAGGUAUGACUCCUGCAGGUCAGGUCCGUCAAGGCAGGCCCAUCAGGCAGGACAACCAAGAGAGUGCUGCCCUACCCGGCCGAACAGCACCACAGAACAUUAAGAAAAUGUGAUUUCUAUAGCAGCCUGUUUAGGCAGGCUCAACGAUAAUUACCUCUGUCGCGUUAUUGUGUCGAUUUACAGGUCAAAUGCUAGGUUAGCAAAACCUAACAGAGGAGCAGCUGCUCAUAGAAAAAAAAAAAAAGAGUUAAUGGCUUUGUCCUUCGACACUGAAACUCUUCUAGCUUUGUGUCAUAAAAUCAUUCAUGAGUCACACAAGAGCAGGAGUGUGGCACGUGACGCACGGCCAUUAUGCAAACCCCUCUAGUACCCUCCCCCUGCACCCACUCCCCAGUUAUUCAUUCCUAGGCCCUCCAGUUAAGAGAAGCUUUUUCCUCCCACAUGCAUCAUUGUAUGUCGGAUUAGCCGCCGACUCUCACAGUCCCCCACCCGUCCAGUCCACCGUUGGAAGCUAACCAAUUAGCAUCAAUUGGCCUUAUUCUCUGGGGUGAUUAGCAUACACGCAGCACUCUCAGGGGGCUUUGACACUUAUUGAAGCUGUCCGGAGUGCGAGAAGGGCGAGCGUUGCUUUUGUGGCCUGGCUGAGACCGAGCGAUAACAAGUGGCGCUAAUGAGCUUGCUAAAGAAGAGGGGCUGCAUGACACCGACCUACAUUGAGAAAGCUGAUUUGCAACGGGAAAAAAACACCAUAAAAUAUCCGAACAAAAUACGGCCCAGAAAAUCACAAGUGUACCUUGUGAUUGUGAAAUCUUGAAGGCGGAUGGCACCUUCACAGACAUUUUUGACAAAAGACCACCAAAAUUAAUGAUCACUCAGGAGCCACUUGCUCCAUCCACUUUAUAUCAUCGUAGUGUCUCCAUAAUUUUUCAUUUUUUUUUAUUGACCAAACUUCUCUCUUCCUCUCUUACUUGGACUUCAGCCCAUUUAGGCAGAAGACAGACUGGGCAUAAAUUGUAUGAAUAAUUCAAUACAAUCAUUCUGGCUCAUUUGCUGAUAACCUUUGUGAUCCAAAGAGUGGUAAAAUUCCCAGAAAUUCAAAACCUGUUUAGCCAACUGUUAAUCAAGUCUGACAAAUUCAGAAAUUUACACGUAAUUUAGUUGAUAAAUUCCCAGACUCACAAGUUUCAAUGUAAAUAGAUUUAUACAGUUGCCUGUUAGACAGGCAAUUAACCAAUCUUGAAUUCAAUCACUGAUUAAAAAAAUUAUUCAGACACAGUUGCCCAUAAUCUUCUUGAUAGGAAUGUUAGAGUUGAGUGGUUUAACUCCCAGAUGCAAAAUAUGUAAAAUGACAAAAUGCACUAGUCAGGCAUGAAUUAAUUAUUAAACUGAGAUACGUUAUUGCCACUCCUUUGGUUCCAAAACAAAAACGCCACCUUGGUGGUACUUUAAAUCAAUGAUACACAACUAAAAUUUGGAUUUCAACAGUAGACCAGUAAAGUGUUUGGGCUGGAUUAAUUUAUUUUACAUAAUUAUGCCUCCCUGGAUUCAAGACAAAAUAAAAACACAAUGAAACCUUAUUGACACGAUUGUGAGAGGAGUUGAACUCCCCAACUGGCAUCAUUUUUAAUGAGGAAAAACCUUUUAUCUAGUCUGUUCUCAAUUUCGUGGACCCUUUGCCAGUUGCUGCCAGAAUGAAAUCCAUUAUCUCCUUUUACUUCAAGACACGGUAAUGACACAAGUAUUACUACAUUGGUGUCUGUUGUUGGUGUAAUCAAUACACAGCAUUACAAUGAAUUCCUUUGUUUCGUUAACAAGAAAUGAAGAUUAAAGUACAUAUCUUUCUAAAAUGAUUGAUUGUCCUGAUAGUAAUUGGCCAACUUUGGGAGCAACCAUUGGAAAGUUGGCAAUAAUAAUUGAUCAAUUUUCUUGUCCUCGCUAAGUUCGUGGCAAUCAGCAAUCUUCAGGUGAGAUGGGGGGUACACGCUGAACUGGUCACCAGGCAAUCCCAAAGCACAGAGAAACAAACAACCAUUCACACUCAUGUUCAUACCUACAUACCUACCAUCAAUGUUUAUGGGAUGUGUGAGGAAACCCAAGAUUCUGGAAAAAAACCCAAGCAGGCACAGGUGAACAUGUAAACUCUAGACAAACAGGGCCAGGAUUUGAACCCCGGUCCGCAGAACUGUGAGCCAAAUGUGCUAACCUGUUGGUGACUGUCCCAAAUUGGACAACAGUAGAUAAGUGGUUACAAUGUGUAUGUUGGUGUACGUAGUCCACAGAAGUGACAUCAUGGUUUGUAGAUUUUUUGUUUGUUUCUAUCUUAAAUGACUGAUAAUUUAUUGUCUUCAUGAGUACCAGCCAUUCCCAAUCUUUGCUCACUUUGGGAUUAAGUUAAAAAAGCAAAUGAAAGGAAAUUAAAGUGUUUAGUAUGUGUUGUUGGUGUAUUUAGUCCAAACUGGUGAAGGGAUGAUUGGCAUAGUUUUUCUCAACUAGAACUAAAUCUGUAGCCACAUAUGAAUGUCAUUAAAAUGCCACAGCGCGUUUAGCGUACAAAACACCCAUAACAUAGAAUUAGCAAAAAUAAUGGAAAUACCGCUUCCAGAUAAUACACAAUAUGUCAAUAACAGAGUAGCAGUCUCAAAAAGAAACCCCUUAGCUCAUUUUAGCUGCUCUGCACCGGACUGAUAAUGUGGAUGCGGUUGGCUUCUGGCACACGAGCAGCGCCGUAAUGACUCCAUGGAGGAUAGUGAGUGUGGACGCCUUCCAGCACAUGUUCAUUAGCCAUUGCACAGCCCAAACAUCUGUCGCCCGGAUAGCUGGCAACGGUGGCACGGGCUAAUUAGCCAGUUUCGUGCAACAGGUUUUGCACACUGAAGAAUAAACAAGGUUGCAACUGUAGCCAAAAGGCACACGGAUACACAAUCAGGGUGUUACAUACAAAAUUUACACACCCACUUUGUGCUUAUUAAUGAUUUCCUAAGGCUAAAAUGUAUAGACUGAAUAUCUGCCAAAAUAUACACCUUCAUCUUGUGAGGGCGAAUGAAACCUGAGGAAGAACAUUCAUGAUUUUUAAUUCUGAAUCUCUUAUUUAUGUCCAAGCUAUGUUCUCAGUUAGCUUGUCAUUUUUUGUUUAACAAUUAUCAUAAUCAACACAAAAAGUGACACAUCCUGUGAUUGUUGUGGGACUUAUUGCUAACUAUUGCCUGACCCCUUUAUGUUUGGUUUUAGUGUUUCUGAAACUCCCCAAGAUUCAAAAUAAGAACAUAGUACAGCUGUGUGAUCCAACCAUCCAUCCAUCUGACUGUCGUUUUAUCUGAGUUCAGGUCGUGGUGCAGCAACUGGAGCAUGGAAACCUAGACUUGCCUCUCCCUAACACUUUCUCACGGUCUUCUGAGGAGGAACCUGAGGUUUUCUCAGGUCAGCUGGGAAACAUACUCUGUCCAACGUACACUGGGUUUUCUCAGGAGCCUCCACCUGGUGAGAUGUGCCUGGAACACCACACCAGGGAUGCAUCCUCGGGGUAUCCUAACCAGAUGCCUGAGCCAUCUUAUCUGGCUCCUCUCUAUUUAGAGGAGCAGCAACUAGACUCUGACAUACUCCUGGAUGACUGGGCUUCUCACCCUAUCGGUAAAGGCUUCUUUAUACUCACACAUGCAGUGACCGCACUCAAAUCACUGUGGCUCUCUUGCAUGUGGUUUUCCUUUAUACUCCAGCACAACCCACACCUGCAGUUUUGAGAAUGUGCUGCAGUUCUUCUCCAAGUCAGAGGUGUUGCCACAGUUGGUAUUGGCUAGGACAACACACCGUUUCAGAAGCUAUUUUUAGUUUCAUUUGCGUAACAAGGAACAAAAUAACAACAAUGGAGACCAUGGAAUAGUGUUUACUGAACAAAUGGACAGAUAGGACCAGAUGGUACGUUCAAUUAUGCUGCCAAAUCGAUCAAAAAGACGGCAACAUAGUUGGUAUGCCGAGGAAAACGGGCCAAUCGCGAGGGAUGAGCUUCACAGCUUUACUCGUGAAGCAACUUUUAGGGCUGUGUACGUAGCAGGCUACGCACAAACUAAGCAAAGUUGCUGCGCAGCGCAAUGUGUAGGUUAGGUGAUGCAAAUCUGGCAUUGUCGACCGCACAACAGUUGGAGUAUAAAGUGGCCUUAAUCGAGAGCCUGGACACCCUAAAAAGGAGUCAUAUUCCGGCUGCUUGUAUCUGCAAUUUUGUUCUUCAUGACGCACAGCUCGUGACCAUAGGUAAGAGGAGGAACAUAUAUCCAACAAUAAAUCGAGAGCUUUACAUUUUGACUGACCUCCUUCUUUACCAUGAGAGACUGAUACAGAUUUCACUUCAGCGUGUACGCCUAACCGAUGCGCUUGCUGAUCACAUGGUCCCUUUUUCCUUCUCUUGUGAACAAGACCCUUAGAUACUUGAAAUGCUCCACUUGGGGCAGCAUCUCUUCCUCGACCCGAAGAGGGCACUUCACUCUUUUCUGACUCAGGAUCAUGUUAUCAGAUUUGGAAGUGCUGAUUUUUAUUCCAGCUGCUCCACACUUGGCAGGGAACCGCUCCAGUGAGAGCUUUAGAUGGUGGCUUAAUGUAGCCAUCGGAACCACAUCAUCUGCAAAAAGCAGAGACGUAAUCCUGAGGUCUACCAGUAGGAUCCCCUCAAAACCUUAUGUGUCCCUAGAAACUUGAUCCAGAAAGGUAAUUAACAGAAUCGGUGACAAACUCUGACACCGGUGGUAUAGGGACCGAGCAGCCUUAAUCAGGUGGUCGAUUACCCUUUACUCCUCAGGACUCUCCAAGGGAAACAGUCAAAUGCCUUCUUUAAAUCCACAAAACGCAUGUAGACUGCUUGGGCAAACUCCAUGCACUCUCAAGGACCAUGAUAAGGGUGUAAAUCUAAUCCACUGUUCCAUGGCCAGGGGGAAAACCACAAUCCUGCUCCUGAAUCUGAGAUUCUAUUUCCUUAUAGAAUUUCACCGCUCAUUGUUUUUUUCGUGUAGACAUUGAAGUGAACAAUAUUAUUUGUAGUUUUUAUAAAAAUAUCUAUUUUAAAAUGUAUAUUUGGCUGUUAGUGGCACUUCAAUGACCACUUUCUUCCAUAUUACAAAAAAUAACUUUCUGAAAAAAUAAAUAAUAAUCAUCUUCAUUCAUGAGAAUAUACCAUCUCAUGGCAUACUAAGGAGAAAAGCUCAUUUGUUGUGAUAUACUGUAAUGGUUGAUAACAUGAAAAUGAUGCUGUCAUUUGCAUCAGUAUUUAGGAAAAGAAUGUGCUAUAAAAUUCCUUCAAUAUGACCUUUUGUCUCUUGGCUGGCUUGGGAUCCCUCCGGAAGAGCUGGAAGAAGUGGCUGGGGAAAGGGAGGUCUGGGUAUCCCUGCUGAAGCUAUUUCCCCUGUGACCCGACCCAGAAAAGCGAGCCAUGUGUAAAACAGAUCACCACUUCCUACAGCGGGAUCUAUUGGAGACCAAUCAGUGACUGAUGCGAGGGUUGGGCAAGAUCAAGACAUCAACAAGAUAACGAGUUCCAUUUGCCAAAAAUGCCCUUACAUGUGGUUAUCGGAGCAAUGGUUCAGUGAACGCCAGUUGUCCACGAACCAAAGGGUCGACAAUUUGAAUCCUGGCUACAGAUGUCCGCUGUGGAUGUGUUCUACAGGGAGAACAUGCAAACUCUGCAAAGGCAAGGCCGGAUUUGAACUUGGGCCUGGCAGCACCUUGCAUGGGAUCUGUCGCUCAUUGCUGUAUGAAUACCUGCGUGAAUGGCGCCAGGGAACAACAGCGGCCAAUUCUGGGACUAACAGACUUUGUCAAUGACAUUUUAUAUGUGAGGAUAAGCGGCUUGGGAAAUAGAUGGUUGGAUGAUUACACAUAGUGAUUGUGCUUUUUUUCCUGCAUCAAAGGAGUUUAGUCUGCACCUCCUUUCCAGCGCCAGGCCGGGCAGACACCCAGAUCCCGCUGAUUAAGAGGGAUACAGGAAGCCAGCAUGUAAACAGCUGAGGGAAGACAAGCUGGCAGGCUGCUUCGCUUGCUGCCGACUGCCGAACUGCUUUUAUGGCCCAUUGAAGCCAUCCUGUCCCUGCGUUUGAAACUCAGAGAAGAACAAGGGAAAGCUGAUCUUUGUUUUCUCAACAUUGGAGACUCCUCCAGUCAGUCUUGCCGAGCCAUCCAGUCUUGGCAACAUAUGAGCUGAAGUUACCCGCCAGGAAAGACAGACCCCAACAAACCCCGCCCACCAUCCCAACAGCCCCCCUAUACUGGGGUUGCCCCCCCUCAGCAGUGAAAACAUCUUUUGAGUGGGCGGCAGCUGUUGGCAUUUCCUGUGUAUUGGGUGUCGAGCGGGCGGCCGGGGCUGCUUCGCCAGGCUUCCCGCUUUUUUCCGGGGUGCGAAUAUUGGGAAAUGUGUUCAGGGGAAUCCACGCAUUUACGCACAAACUAACACACACAUUUAUGUACAGUGCACACACACACAGAUAUAUAAAAGCGCACACACAUGCAUGCAAUCACUCAUACACACAAUCACACACGCACGCACACAAAUGACGCAUAUAGUCACUCUCAUUCACUCAUGCAUGCACACACACUAACUCAAACACAGGCAUAUGUACAAUUCUGAACCAGCUGCUGUUGCUACUCAAGUGAUGUGUAAAUCCCCCUUUUUUUGCACCUCUGUGUGUGUGUGUGUGUGUGUGUGUGCGUGUGUGAGUGCGUGUGUGUGUGUGCAUGUGUGCAUGUGUGCAUACAUGUGUGCAUAGGCAUGUCUUGCAUAGGUCAGCUAUAUGGAGUGAUUUCAUUACUGGUGAAUACGUGACUGUCAGCAGAUUGACAGUCAGCUGCAGCCAUAUUGGAUUAUAGAUUGUAUUUCACGGCGUUAAAAGUGGCCCUCCGGGGCUAAUUUAGCUCAGCAGCUAACAACGCCAUCUUUGGGUAAAAAUAUCAACUGGCCGUUCCUCCACUUCGUGUCAACAUUUAGAGCUAAGAAGUAAGGAGGGAACCCGAAGAAUGCAUUUGAAUAAAGAGCAAUGAAUUGAUAUCUUCCUAAUGGCCGGUUCAGCAAGCAGCCGUGCGAUUGCAAGCAUGUAAACAUGGAACGAAUAUCGCACACGACACUGUGGCAAAACCUACCAUGCCAAAACAGAGUGUUUUGGAUCAGGCAAGAUGUGGUUGAAGACGUACAGUCAUCACAUUAAAGAAGCAAUCGACCCUCCAUCCAUUUUCUGAGCUGCUUAUCCUCACAAUGGUCGCAGGUUUGCUGGGCGAGAGGUGAAGUACACCCUGAACAGGGCAUAUGAAGACAGACAACAGUCGCACUCACAAUGCACACCUACGGGCAAUUUAGGUGUCUCCAAUUAAUGCAUGUUUUUGGGAUGUGGGAGGAAACUGGAGUCCCGGUAGAAAACCCACUCAGGCACGGGGAGAACAUGCAAACUCCACACAGGCGGGGCCGGGAUCUGAACCCCGGUCCUCAGAACUGUGAGGCCAGCGAUUCAACCAGUUACAGCACUGUGCCACCUGCAACGGAGCAUAUUGUACAAAUAAAAAUGGUUUAUGUCAAGAAACAUUUAUUUUUGUAAUGUAUGAAGACUUAUGGGACACACUGUACUAGUGCACCCAUGUCAUUCUGCUAGUGUGCUAAGUAGGAUAUUGAAUAACUCCUCUAACGGCUUGCCGUGCAAGCACUGCCGACACGUUACUCUGACAGUUGUCCCUUGCUAUAUUCAACACUUAUAUCUGUAUCACUGUUUUUAAAUUGUACAUAGCUAAUUUUAGAUUGCAUAGUUAUUUUUUUUUUUUGGCAAAUUGGUAUUUUGCCCAAUCGCCAGUGCAGACCUGCCUUUUAAAUCCAUGUGCAUUCAAAUUUAGACAUGACAGUGUGGAAUGUGAAGAUGGUGACUCCAAGUGGGGAAAAAAAUCAUACCCACUUCACAUGCAUAUUUUGCAUUUAUAUAAUGUAUAAAGCUUUUUAACAUAUAUAUAAAUAACUAAUUGAACACACGGUUGCUAUUUCAUGGAUUUUUCUCUUUAUCGCAAGUGGUUCUGGAACGUAACCCCUGUGAUAAAUGACAGACUAUGCUGUACCACAUUUGAAAAGUACAUUUUCCUUUCAAGAUGUAUUUUGUUCUGAAAAUGUUAUCAUGUUUUUGUUUUUUUUUUUCCAAAGGAAAGAGUUAGUGGCCUGUCCAAACUUUGUGUGCUUGUUGGAGAUAACAAACAAGUUGUUGAGGUCGCAGGAGGCACCUCAGAUAAAGCACCCUGCCUGCCUGUUUUAUGUCCCGCUGGCCAAUAUGGAGGAGGAAGCUCGCUGGCUUUGUGUUUACAUACCCGACUGAAUAAUGGCGAGGAGGAGAAGGUGCGGAGGAACAUUAGCGUCCUGAAGAGGAUGUCAUGAGUCAUCCUCUGCCAGGGUAUGAAUGCCAGGCUUAAUCCUCAGGAAGUCCAGGAGACGUGUACACAGCAUGUUCGUAGGUUUAUAAUCACGCUUUUGUAGCCUGGGGACUGUUUAAGUGCUGAUUUUAUACCUGAACUCCAAAGAAAUUGGGAUGCUGCGUAAACCACAAUUUCAAAACAGAAUGCAAAGAUUUGCACAUACUUUUCAAUUGAGAGAGAGAACCUAUUACAUUUUUAAAAUUGAUUAGCCCAAUUGCUUUAUAUACCUCUGAAAUCUUCCAAGUUUGUGUUUCUGAGCAUUGCUACAUUUUCCUAGCCUUUUGUUUGUCCUCGCUCAUCUCUUUUGAUACAGCCAUCAAAUCCAAACAAAAACGUUCAUCACUUUGAACAUUAAACAUAUUUUCUUUGUAGUGUAUUCAAUUGAAUGUAAAUUAAAAAUGAUUAGCAAAU
This is a long non-coding RNA of Syngnathoides biaculeatus (alligator pipefish), 9921 nucleotides long. RefSeq lists it as uncharacterized. The transcript has 8 exons. NCBI's taxonomy places the organism in Eukaryota, Metazoa, Chordata, Actinopteri, Syngnathiformes, Syngnathidae. The record is from RefSeq and is a predicted model, not a curated record.